This 406-nucleotide unclassified non-coding RNA is filed under the name soil metagenome. RNAcentral's name for it is "partial contains 5.8S ribosomal RNA, internal transcribed spacer 2, and large subunit ribosomal RNA". The stretch from base 1 to 121 matches the Rfam family "5.8S ribosomal RNA", at positions 35 to 154 of the family's 154-position model. The record is from RNAcentral.
GAUGAAGAACGUAGCGAAAUGCGAUAAGUAAUGUGAAUUGCAGAAUUCAGUGAAUCAUCGAAUCUUUGAACGCACCUUGCGCCCUUUGGCCAUUCCGAAGGGCAUGCCUGUUUGAGUAUCAUGAACACCUCAACUCUUCAUGGUUUUCCGUGAUGAGCUUGGACUUUGGGGGUCUUGCUGGCCUAUGGUCAGCUCCUCUAAAAUAAAUCGGCUUGCCAGUGUUUGGUGGGUAUCACAGGUGUGAUAACUAUCUACGCUUGUGGUUUUCCACCAGGUAACCUUCAGCAGUGGAGGUUCGCUGGAGCUCACAGAUGUGUCUCUCCUCAGUGAGGACAGCUCUUUGAAUGUUUGAUCUCAAAUCAGGUAGGACUACCCGCUGAACUUAAGCAUAUCAAUAAGCGGAGGA